Long non-coding RNA from Passer domesticus (house sparrow), 836 nucleotides. RefSeq lists it as uncharacterized. The record is from RefSeq and is a predicted model, not a curated record. Lineage: Eukaryota; Metazoa; Chordata; Aves; Passeriformes; Passeridae. The transcript is spliced from 2 exons.
AGCCAGAGGAAAAAAAAAAAAAAAGAAUGCCAGCUUUUUGCACUUGAGGGGACAAAUGGGAACCACAAAAUGGUCUCAGACUGUCCCCAGCACCCUGUGCCCCCCAGGCUCUGCUCCACCUGCACAAAAUGUUCUGGAGAGUCUCCUCCUCCCUCUGACUUAAGAAGUUUGUCAUGGCCCUUUCCUGGCAAGGGAUAUUUACAGGUGAAGAUGCUGGGGGCGUUUAGGCUGGCAGGAGCUGGCAGCUUUAUUUCCAGGCUUUUCCCCAGGAAUACUAAGGGCACUCAGAAAGGCAAGAACAAAGCUACAACUUUAUUUGAGAGCAAAACAAAAGCAAACAAAUGCAUACCCAGAAGACCAAGCGUUGAAAGGGAGCGGGAGACGGCUCAGGCAGCAUCUGAGGCGGCCCUUGGACACCUCAUGACUGUUAAAAAGUUUCCUGAGGAGCAAAGGCUUUUUGUUGGUUGGUUUGUUUGUUUGUUCGCAUCAAGAAAACAAAGUGGAAGGAUUGCUGAUGCCUUUGGUGGUAAAUGAAGACAAAUACCUCUCGAUUGUGGAGAUUGCCAGCAUGGAAAAAGCUCUGCUUGCAUCAUUUUGGGAAGAGGCUGAGAAUGCUUUCGGGGUCCUCGCCAGGCUGACUUCUCAAAGAUGAGCUCCUCACCACAAACCCCAGGGAUAUCUACACCCUGCAGCUCUCGGGAAGCUGAAUGCUGGCAUGUGUCCCCUUGAGCGACAUCCCUUCUUGUUCCACAGAUGUCAAGAGCCUUGGAGAACCCUCCUCCCCUGAUACUUUCACAGCCUCAAUAUUUUGGAAAAAAUUGCUGUUUCUCACUUAA